GUCGACCGCUUCGCUGAGGACGACGUCGUUCGGGGACGGGUCAAUGGACCCGGACGCGGUGGCUCAAACCUACUGGCAGUUGCACGUCCAAGACCGGAGUGCUUGGACCCAAGAGAUCGACCUCCGUCCCUCUCACCCACCCAGAUUCUGUUAGAAGCCAAUUAAUAAUAUCAAUAAUAUGCAAUUGGCUCCACAUAAUCAUGGUGAUCAUUAUUUAUAUAUAUAUGCUUAAAAUUCUUUAUAUUUCCUCUUUGCUUUACUUACUUUAGAAAGAGUUGAAGACACCAUGAUUCCAUGAAGCCAGUUUGCGAGAGCCACUUGCCCUUGCGCUAGGGACAACUCGGGGAGGAGCCACCUCUUGCUGGCAGAGGUUCCAAUCUAUCUCCCCAAGUGGUGUGGAACUGAGGGCCC
RNAcentral lists this long non-coding RNA (411 nucleotides) under Prunus persica (peach). RNAcentral's name for it is "long non-coding RNA (PPER_LNC007408)". The record is from RNAcentral. Lineage: Eukaryota; Viridiplantae; Streptophyta; Magnoliopsida; Rosales; Rosaceae.